RNAcentral lists this transfer RNA (73 nucleotides) under Pangasianodon gigas (Mekong giant catfish). RNAcentral's name for it is "tRNA-Lys". It matches the Rfam family "tRNA". Rfam says of the family: Transfer RNA (tRNA) molecules are approximately 80 nucleotides in length. Their secondary structure includes four short double-helical elements and three loops (D, anti-codon, and T loops). Lineage: Eukaryota; Metazoa; Chordata; Actinopteri; Siluriformes; Pangasiidae. The record is from RNAcentral.
ACCUGGCUAGCUCAGUUGGGAGAGCAUGAGACUCUUACUCAUAGAGUCAUGGGUUUGAGCCCCAUGUUGGGUG